Molecule: long non-coding RNA, 1392 nt
Filed under: Piliocolobus tephrosceles (Ugandan red Colobus)
Lineage: Eukaryota; Metazoa; Chordata; Mammalia; Primates; Cercopithecidae
Description: lncRNA (ENSPTEG00000033537.1)
Source: RNAcentral
CACCUACUACCGUGUGAAAUUCCAGAAAGGGAGCUUAACGUGGAGAUUAAGUCUGGACCAGGCACCCAGAUGUUUGUGCGUGCCCUCUCUUCCAAAGAUUUCUGGCCACUCCAACAGGGAUAUCCCAGGCCAACUAGUGAAUCUCACCUGCACCUCAACUGGCUUCUUUGCCGAAAACAUAUAUGUGAAAUGACUCAAAAAUGGCAUAGAGCUUCCAGCCUUUCAGAGCCACGUCUCCUCACCUGCAGAUGCUUCCUCCUACACCGUCAUCAGCACUGCUACAGUGACCCUUGGCUUCUCCUCACUCCACUCCCAGGUCAUCCGCCAGUUGGCUCACAGUGAAUUGCAGAGCCCCCUCAGAGGGCAUGUGAACAUCUCCCAAUUUCUCCAAGAGCUCCCUGCUGUCUAACGUCUUUGGGAGGUGGAACUUCAUUCACUAAUUCGACAGGUUUUUGUUGAGCAUCUGCUAUGUGGUGGCAUCAUUCUAGGUGCUGGAGAUUCUAUGGUAAACCGAGCAGACCUGGUUCUGCCUUGCUGAGUUUACAGUCAUGUGAACCCAAUCAACCAAGACGCAAACAACUAUAUGGUUAUGACUCAUCACAUUUGCUAUGAAGAGAAAGAACAAAUUGCUGAAAUAUAUGAAAAGGAGAGAAAUCCAGUUUACUCAGGAAAUGCCUUUUUGAAGAAAUGAUGUUUGAGCCAAGGCAUGGAGAAUGAAAAGGAGUCAGCCAAGCAAAGUGCAGAGUGUUCAAGGCACAGGAAACAGAGCAUGCAAAGGCCCUGUGCUGCCGUGGGGAGCAAGACAUGUCUGAGGAGCAGAGACGAAGCCAGUGUGGCUGAGGCCUAGUGAGAGGGUGAGUGCAUGGAAAAGGAAGAGGCUGGCAAGAGAGGGCCAGGGACCUGAUCACUUAGGGCUUCAUAGCAAAGAAGUUUCUCCCACCUGAACUCGCUGUGGGAACUCCUAACACCACUGUUCAAACCGCCAUGCCACCACUGCCUUGCCGCCAGUCACCACCUUUGAAACACGCUUCUUAAACUCACCUGGCAACAGGAGAAGCAGCAAGGCAGGCUACACACACAUGCCCUUUCUGGCUCUUACUUCUUAAGGACAGAGUCCAUUGUUUAUUUCCCAAGAGCAAGCCCAGGCUGUUGUGUUGAAUCCAACUUUGCAGAAAUAUAGAAAGAAAGGCAAAGGAAAUUAUCCUCACUGCUUUUCAAGUCCAUCUGCCUUUGCCUUCAAAGGGGCUUUCCCCAGAGGCCUGUACUGUCCUUUGCCCCCCCACCAACCUCAGCAUAGUAUAGUCUCAAUUACCUCCUGCAGAUGGGUGAAGUUCCUUCCAGGGGUCCAGAACUCCAUCUUUCCUUCUCUCCAGCUCCAGCCAGAGAAAACCA